GACGAACGCUGGCGGCGUGCUUAACACAUGCAAGUCGAGCGGUAAGGCCCUUUCGGGGGUACACGAGCGGCGAACGGGUGAGUAACACGUGGGUGACCUGCCCUCAGCUCUGGGAUAAGCCCGGGAAACUGGGUCUAAUACCGGAUAUGACUCCAUGACGCAUGUUGUGGGGUGGAAAGCCUUGUGCGGCUGAGGAUGGGCCCGCGGCCUAUCAGCUUGUUGGUGGGGUGAUGGCCACCAAGGCGACGACGGGUAGCCGGCCUGAGAGGGCGACCGGCCACACUGGGACUGAGAUACGGCCCAGACUCCUACGGGAGGCAGCAGUGGGGAAUCUUGCGCAAUGGGCGAAAGCCUGACGCAGCGACGCCGCGUGAGGGAUGACGGCCUGGUUGUAAC
This 396-nucleotide ribosomal RNA is filed under the name uncultured bacterium. RNAcentral describes it as "bacterial SSU rRNA". It matches the Rfam family "Bacterial small subunit ribosomal RNA", at positions 28 to 429 of the family's 1533-position model. The record is from RNAcentral.